Mesocricetus auratus (golden hamster) is the source of this 987-nucleotide long non-coding RNA. RefSeq lists it as uncharacterized. NCBI's taxonomy places the organism in Eukaryota, Metazoa, Chordata, Mammalia, Rodentia, Cricetidae. The transcript has 6 exons. The record is from RefSeq and is a predicted model, not a curated record.
CACAGUUUCUCCAUCCAUUCUUCAGCUGAGAGCCAUCUAAGCUGAUUCCAGGUUCUUCCUAUUACAAAUAAUGCUGCUAUGAACAUGGUUAAACAGACGUUGGAUUCAGUUUUUCCUGGUGUGAAAGAGACUGCUAGCUCUCUCCAGCACCAUAUGGUCACACUCCGUAGCCUCUGGAUCAGUGGUUUUCCUAAUUAUGUGACCCUUCAAUGCAGUUCCUUUUGUUCUGGUGACCCCUGAGAUAAGAAUGUUUGAUCAGAAUUGCUUUGGAAAUUAUACCCAUGGUCUCCUUGUCACCUGAGGAGAAUCAUUCCUGUCUGUAUUGAGUAAAGAUCUGUGCAAGCUCGGCACAUGGUGUGGAAGAGGAAGAAGAGGAUGAACAUGUGAACUGCAGGAAGAGAGCUGGGUCAUCUCCUGCAGACGGGGAAAACUGCAACAAAGAGCUUAAGGACAGACAGGAUGGAGGAUGUGACCUGCAUUUGGACGAGAUUCCCAGCACAAGGAGAGAAGGCCUCACCCAAGAGCUCCUGUGAAGCCAAUCAUUUGCGGACACCAGUGCAGCUCCAAGCAACUCUCCCAAGAGACACAAUGUCUCAUUUAUCCAGUGGUCUUCAGAUUUCUUAGCUGGAUGCCUUCAUUAUCCUGAAAAGACAAAAACAAAACCCUACCUCAACCCUAAAUUUGGGAAAGUUCCCUUAUGGCAAGCAAUAUCUGAAAAAAUGAAAAGCAUUUCUUAGUUUUAAAGUUAGUUUAGAUUAAAUGGCCAUACUCUUUGAUUAGUUAUCAUCUUUUCUAAACAAGGUGUGUCUUUUGUUCAAACCCUAAUCUCUAUCGAUUUUGUGGUAUAUGUCACUUUUCUUCUUCCCAAACCCCCUUCCCCAACAUAACACACAUCCUGGUUCCCAUUCUGAGGUCAGCACAUCUUUAAAAUAUACCAGCUGAUUUAAUUCUAUAGGUUUUUUCUAUUAUCUAAUUUCUCUCCACGAC